CCUACGGGUGGCAGCAGUGAGGAAUAUUGGUCAAUGGGCGCAAGCCUGAACCAGCCAAGUCGCGUGAGUGAUGACGGUCCUAUGGAUUGUAAACCUCUUUUGACGGGGAGCAAGGCCCGCCACGUGUGACGGGAAGGAGAGUACCCGAAGAAAAAGCAUCGGCUAACUCAGUGCCAGCAGCCGCGGUAAUACGGAGGAUGCGAGCGGUAUCCGGAUUUAUUUGGUUUAAAGGGUGCGUAGGCGGAAGGUUAAGUCAGCGGUAAAAUGUCGGUGCUUAACACCGGCCUGCCGUUGAAACUGGUCUUCUUGAGUGAGCGAGAAGUAUGCGGAAUGCGUGGUGUAGCGGUGAAAUGCAUAGAUAUCACGCAGAACUCCGGUUGCGAAGGCAGCAUACCGGCGCUCAACUGACGCUGAGGCACGAAAGCGUGGGGAUCGAACAGGAUUAGAUACCCCAGUAGUC
Molecule: ribosomal RNA, 460 nt
Filed under: uncultured bacterium
Lineage: Bacteria
Description: partial 16S ribosomal RNA
Rfam family: Bacterial small subunit ribosomal RNA
Source: RNAcentral